RNAcentral lists this ribosomal RNA (253 nucleotides) under uncultured bacterium. RNAcentral's name for it is "partial 16S ribosomal RNA". It matches the Rfam family "Bacterial small subunit ribosomal RNA", at positions 524 to 776 of the family's 1533-position model. The record is from RNAcentral.
UACGUAGGGUGCAAGCGUUGUCCGGAAUUAUUGGGCGUAAAGGGCUCGUAGGCGGUCUGUCACGUCGGGAGUGAAAACUCAGGGCUUAACCCUGGGCCUGCAGUGGAUACGGGCAGACUAGAGGUAGGUAGGGGAGAAUGGAAUUCCCGGUGUAGCGGUGAAAUUCGUAGAUAUCAGGAGGAACACCAGUGGCGAAGGCGGCUUUCUGGACGGUAACUGACGCUGAGACGCGAAAGCGUGGGGAGCAAACAGG